This 637-nucleotide ribosomal RNA is filed under the name uncultured bacterium. Its description in RNAcentral is "bacterial SSU rRNA". It matches the Rfam family "Bacterial small subunit ribosomal RNA", at positions 607 to 1244 of the family's 1533-position model. The record is from RNAcentral.
GCUUAACCGGAGAAGUGCAUCGGAAACUGGGAGACUUGAGUGCAGAAGAGGACAGUGGAACUCCAUGUGUAGCGGUGGAAUGCGUAGAUAUAUGGAAGAACACCAGUGGCGAAGGCGGCUGUCUAGUCUGUAACUGACGCUGAGGCUCGAAAGCAUGGGUAGCAAACAGGAUUAGAUACCCUGGUAGUCCAUGCCGUAAACGAUGAGUGCUAGGUGUUGGAGGGUUUCCGCCCUUCAGUGCCGCAGCUAACGCAUUAAGCACUCCGCCUGGGGAGUACGACCGCAAGGUUGAAACUCAAAGGAAUUGACGGGGGCCCGCACAAGCGGUGGAGCAUGUGGUUUAAUUCGAAGCUACGCGAAGAACCUUACCAGGUCUUGACAUCUUCUGCCAAUCUUAGAGAUAAGACGUUCCCUUCGGGGACAGAAUGACAGGUGGUGCAUGGUUGUCGUCAGCUCGUGUCGUGAGAUGUUGGGUUAAGUCCCGCAACGAGCGCAACCCUUAUUAUCAGUUGCCAGCAUUAAGUUUGGCACUCUGGUGAGACUGCCGGUGACAAACCGGAGGAAGGUGGGGAUGACGUCAAAUCAUCAUGCCCCUUAUGACCUGGGCUUCACACGUGCUACAAUGGACGGUACAACG